UGGGGAAUUUUGGACAAUGGGCGCAAGCCUGAUCCAGCCAUGCCGCGUGUCUGAAGAAGGCCUUCGGGUUGUAAAGGACUUUUGUCGGGGAAGAAAAGGCUGUUGCUAAUAUCAGCGGCUGAUGACGGUACCCGAAGAAUAAGCACCGGCUAACUACGUGCCAGCAGCCGCGGUAAUACGUAGGGUGCGAGCGUUAAUCGGAAUUACUGGGCGUAAAGCGGGCGCAGACGGUUACUUAAGCAGGAUGUGAAAUCCCCGGGCUCAACCCGGGAAUUGCGUUCUGAACUGGGUGGCUAGAGUGUGUCAGAGGGAGGUAGAAUUCCACGUGUAGCAGUGAAAUGCGUAGAGAUGUGGAGGAAUACCGAUGGCGAAGGCAGCCUCCUGGGAUAACACUGACGUUCAUGCCCGAAAGCGUGGGUAGCAAACAGGAUUAGAUACCCUGGUAGUCCACGCCCUAAACGACGUCGAUUAGCUGUUGGGCAGCCUGACUGCUUGGUAGCGAAGCUAACGCGUGAAAUCGACCGCCUGGGGAGUACGGUCGCAAGAUUA
This 549-nucleotide ribosomal RNA is filed under the name uncultured bacterium. Its description in RNAcentral is "bacterial SSU rRNA". It matches the Rfam family "Bacterial small subunit ribosomal RNA", at positions 355 to 896 of the family's 1533-position model. The record is from RNAcentral.